Molecule: ribosomal RNA, 243 nt
Filed under: Clostridioides difficile
Lineage: Bacteria; Bacillati; Bacillota; Clostridia; Peptostreptococcales; Peptostreptococcaceae
Description: partial 16S ribosomal RNA
Rfam family: Bacterial small subunit ribosomal RNA
Source: RNAcentral
UUUUAUUUGAGAGUUUGAUCCUGGCUCAGGAUGAACGCUGGCGGCGUGCCUAACACAUGCAAGUUGAGCGAUUUACUUCGGUAAAGAGCGGCGGACGGGUGAGUAACGCGUGGGUAACCUACCCUGUACACACGGAUAACAUACCGAAAGGUAUGCUAAUACGGGAUAAUAUAUUUGAGAGGCAUCUCUUAAAUAUCAAAGGUGAGCCAGUACAGGAUGGACCCGCGUCUGAUUAGCUAGUUG